RNAcentral lists this ribosomal RNA (486 nucleotides) under uncultured bacterium. RNAcentral describes it as "partial 16S ribosomal RNA". It matches the Rfam family "Bacterial small subunit ribosomal RNA", at positions 30 to 507 of the family's 1533-position model. The record is from RNAcentral.
AUUGAACGCUGGCGGCAUGCCUUACACAUGCAAGUCGAACGGCAGCACGGGUGCUUGCACCUGGUGGCGAGUGGCGAACGGGUGAGUAAUACAUCGGAACAUGUCCUGUAGUGGGGGAUAGCCCGGCGAAAGCCGGAUUAAUACCGCAUACGAUCUACGGAUGAAAGCGGGGGACCUUCGGGCCUCGCGCUAUAGGGUAGGCCGAUGGCUGAUUAGCUAGUUGGUGGGGUAAAGGCCUACCAAGGCGACGAUCAGUAGCUGGUCUGAGAGGACGACCAGCCACACUGGGACUGAGACACGGCCCAGACUCCUACGGGAGGCAGCAGUGGGGAAUUUUGGACAAUGGGCGAAAGCCUGAUCCAGCAAUGCCGCGUGUGUGAAGAAGGCCUUCGGGUUGUAAAGCACUUUUGUCCGGAAAGAAAUCCUUGGCCCUAAUACGGUCGGGGGAUGACGGUACCGGAAGAAUAAGCACCGGCUAACUACGUG